Molecule: transfer-messenger RNA, 354 nt
Filed under: Coprobacillus sp.
Lineage: Bacteria; Bacillati; Bacillota; Erysipelotrichia; Erysipelotrichales; Coprobacillaceae
Also listed under: 1 other name
Rfam family: transfer-messenger RNA
About the family: Bacterial tmRNA, also known as 10Sa RNA or SsrA, is named for its dual tRNA and mRNA-like properties. Its role is to liberate the mRNA from a stalled ribosome.
Source: RNAcentral
GGGGGCGUCUUGGAUUCGACAGGGGUCAGUUUGAAUAGAAUGGCAGCCGUUGGCAUACGUUAAAUGCAACAAAAAAUAUCUGGAAACAGACAACAAUUAUCUUUCGCUUGCUAGUCGACGUUAGACUUUAGCGAAUAUCAGCCUUUGAGAUACCUAUGCUUAAAGAACUGGUAACAUACUUUAUAGGUUAAGGGUAUAUAGAGUCUGGAUGUAUAUCUCGAAAAUUAACAGAAUCGCUAAGUGAAAGACUGCUUGUGGAUCGUAGCUUAGUUAAAUUUAUUCGACAAGAUAAGCUGUAGAAGUUCUAUAUGGGACGGCUUUUGGACGCGGGUUCGAUUCCCGCCGCCUCCACCA